CUUGCUCUCGGGUGACGAGUGGCGGACGGGUGAGUAAUGUCUGGGAAACUGCCUGAUGGAGGGGGAUAACUACUGGAAACGGUAGCUAAUACCGCAUAACGUCGCAAGACCAAAGAGGGGGACCUUCGGGCCUCUUGCCAUCAGAUGUGCCCAGAUGGGAUUAGCUAGUAGGUGGGGUAACGGCUCACCUAGGCGACGAUCCCUAGCUGGUCUGAGAGGAUGACCAGCCACACUGGAACUGAGACACGGUCCAGACUCCUACGGGAGGCAGCAGUGGGGAAUAUUGCACAAUGGGCGCAAGCCUGAUGCAGCCAUGCCGCGUGUAUGAAGAAGGCCUUCGGGUUGUAAAGUACUUUCAGCGGGGAGGAAGGUGUUGUGGUUAAUAACCACAGCAAUUGACGUUACCCGCAGAAGAAGCACCGGCUAACUCCGUGCCAGCAGCCGCGGUAAUACGGAGGGUGCAAGCGUUAAUCGGGAAUUUACUGGGGCGUAAA
This 494-nucleotide ribosomal RNA is filed under the name Enterobacter asburiae. RNAcentral's name for it is "bacterial SSU rRNA". It matches the Rfam family "Bacterial small subunit ribosomal RNA", at positions 75 to 564 of the family's 1533-position model. The record is from RNAcentral. Lineage: Bacteria; Pseudomonadati; Pseudomonadota; Gammaproteobacteria; Enterobacterales; Enterobacteriaceae.